GGGUUGUGAGGUUAAGCGACUAAGCGUACACGGUGGAUGCCCUGGCAGUCAGAGGCGAUGAAGGACGUGCUAAUCUGCGAUAAGCGCCGGUAAGGUGAUAUGAACCGUUAUAACCGGCGAUUUCCGAAUGGGGAAACCCAGUGUGAUUCGUCACACUAUCAUUAACUGAAUCCAUAGGUUAAUGAGGCGAACCGGGGGAACUGAAACAUCUAAGUACCCCGAGGAAAAGAAAUCAACCGAGAUUCCCCCAGUAGCGGCGAGCGAACGGGGAGGAGCCCAGAGCCUGAAUCAGCAUGUGUGUUAGUGGAAGCGUCUGGAAAGGCGCGCGAUACAGGGUGACAGCCCCGUACACAAAAGCGCAUGUGCUGUGAGCUCGAUGAGUAGGGCGGGACACGUGGUAUCCUGUCUGAAUAUGGGGGGACCAUCCUCCAAGGCUAAAUACUCCUGACUGACCGAUAGUGAACCAGUACCGUGAGGGAAAGGCGAAAAGAACCCCGGCGAGGGGAGUGAAAAAGAACCUGAAACCGUGUACGUACAAGCAGUGGGAGCCCCACCACUAAGCCAGUGGUGAACUCCACAUACGCAUCCUUUGCUGAGGAUACGGUUAACGGAGCGAAAGCGACGUUCAACCGCAAAAGAAGCAGAGGGGCUUAGUGGUGGGGUGACUGCGUACCUUUUGUAUAAUGGGUCAGCGACUUAUAUUCUGUAGCAAGGUUAACCGAAUAGGGGAGCCGGAGGGAAACCGAGUCUUAAUUGGGCGUUAAGUUGCAGGGUAUAGACCCGAAACCCGGUGAUCUAGCCAUGGGCAGGUUGAAGGUUGGGUAACACUAACUGGAGGACCGAACCGACUAAUGUUGAAAAAUUAGCGGAUGACCUGUGGCUGGGGGUGAAAGGCCAAUCAAACCGGGAGAUAGCUGGUUCUCCCCGAAAGCUAUUUAGGUAGCGCCUCGUGAAUUCAUCUCCGGGGUAGAGCACUGUUUCGGCUAGGGGGCCAUCCCGGCUUACCAACCCGAUGCAAACUGCGAAUACCGGAGAAUGUUAUCACGGGAGACACACGGCGGGUGCUAACGUCCGUCGUGAAGAGGGAAACAACCCAGACCGCCAGCUAAGGUCCCAAAGUCAUGGUUAAGUGGGAAACGAUGUGGGAAGGCCCAGACAGCCAGGAUGUUGGCUUAGAAGCAGCCAUCAUUUAAAGAAAGCGUAAUAGCUCACUGGUCGAGUCGGCCUGCGCGGAAGAUGUAACGGGGCUAAACCAUGCACCGAAGCUGCGGCAGCGACACUGUGUGUUGUUGGGUAGGGGAGCGUUCUGUAAGCCUGUGAAGGUGUGUCGUGAGGCAUGCUGGAGGUAUCAGAAGUGCGAAUGCUGACAUAAGUAACGAUAAAGCGGGUGAAAAGCCCGCUCGCCGGAAGACCAAGGGUUCCUGUCCAACGUUAAUCGGGGCAGGGUGAGUCGACCCCUAAGGCGAGGCCGAAAGGCGUAGUCGAUGGGAAACGGGUUAAUAUUCCCGUACUUGGUGUUACUGCGAAGGGGGGACGGAGAAGGCUAUGUUGGCCGGGCGACGGUUGUCCCGGUUUAAGCGUGUAGGUGUGUGUUCCAGGUAAAUCCGGUUCACUUUAACACUGAGGCGUGACGACGAGGCACUACGGUGCUGAAGCAACAAAUGCCCUGCUUCCAGGAAAAGCCUCUAAGCAUCAGGUAACAUCAAAUCGUACCCCAAACCGACACAGGUGGUCAGGUAGAGAAUACCAAGGCGCUUGAGAGAACUCGGGUGAAGGAACUAGGCAAAAUGGUGCCGUAACUUCGGGAGAAGGCACGCUGACAUGUAGGUGAAGUGAUUUACUCAUGGAGCUGAAGUCAGUCGAAGAUACCAGCUGGCUGCAACUGUUUAUUAAAAACACAGCACUGUGCAAACACGAAAGUGGACGUAUACGGUGUGACGCCUGCCCGGUGCCGGAAGGUUAAUUGAUGGGGUCAGCGCAAGCGAAGCUCCUGAUCGAAGCCCCGGUAAACGGCGGCCGUAACUAUAACGGUCCUAAGGUAGCGAAAUUCCUUGUCGGGUAAGUUCCGACCUGCACGAAUGGCGUAAUGAUGGCCAGGCUGUCUCCACCCGAGACUCAGUGAAAUUGAACUCGCUGUGAAGAUGCAGUGUACCCGCGGCAAGACGGAAAGACCCCGUGAACCUUUACUAUAGCUUGACACUGAACAUUGAGCCUUGAUGUGUAGGAUAGGUGGGAGGCUUUGAAGUGUGGACGCCAGUCUGCAUGGAGCCGACCUUGAAAUACCACCCUUUAAUGUUUGAUGUUCUAACGUGGACCCGUUACCCGGGUUGCGGACAGUGUCUGGUGGGUAGUUUGACUGGGGCGGUCUCCUCCUAAAGAGUAACGGAGGAGCACGAAGGUUGGCUAAUCCUGGUCGGACAUCAGGAGGUUAGUGCAAUGGCAUAAGCCAGCUUGACUGCGAGCGUGACGGCGCGAGCAGGUGCGAAAGCAGGUCAUAGUGAUCCGGUGGUUCUGAAUGGAAGGGCCAUCGCUCAACGGAUAAAAGGUACUCCGGGGAUAACAGGCUGAUACCGCCCAAGAGUUCAUAUCGACGGCGGUGUUUGGCACCUCGAUGUCGGCUCAUCACAUCCUGGGGCUGAAGUAGGUCCCAAGGGUAUGGCUGUUCGCCAUUUAAAGUGGUACGCGAGCUGGGUUUAGAACGUCGUGAGACAGUUCGGUCCCUAUCUGCCGUGGGCGCUGGAGAACUGAGGGGGGCUGCUCCUAGUACGAGAGGACCGGAGUGGACGCAUCACUGGUGUUCGGGUUGUCAUGCCAAUGGCACUGCCCGGUAGCUAAAUGCGGAAGAGAUAAGUGCUGAAAGCAUCUAAGCACGAAACUUGCCCCGAGAUGAGUUCUCCCUGAGACUUAGAGUCUCCUGAAGGAACGUUGAAGACGACGACGUUGAUAGGCCGGGUGUGUAAGCGCAGCGAUGCGUUGAGCUAACCGGUACUAAUGAACCGUGAGGCUUAACCUUACAACGCCGAAG
This 3025-nucleotide ribosomal RNA is filed under the name Salmonella enterica. Its description in RNAcentral is "23S ribosomal RNA". It matches the Rfam family "Bacterial large subunit ribosomal RNA". Lineage: Bacteria; Pseudomonadati; Pseudomonadota; Gammaproteobacteria; Enterobacterales; Enterobacteriaceae. The record is from RNAcentral.